Molecule: long non-coding RNA, 584 nt
Filed under: Pan troglodytes (chimpanzee)
Lineage: Eukaryota; Metazoa; Chordata; Mammalia; Primates; Hominidae
Description: long non-coding RNA NONPTRT001701
Source: RNAcentral
CUUCGCUUGAAAAAUACAAAUAUACAUAUUCGAGAGCACUACCAAAUUUUGAAGCUUAAUGUAUUCAUUGCCAACGUACUGUACAUAACUAAAAGUCAUUUUAAAUGUUUUCUAAACAGGGACUGAUGUGGAUAUCAACAAUGGUUUCAUCCUAUAACUGAGUUUUAGCAUUUGUUUAGUAUAUUUACCUAUUUAGUUAAAGCACAUUACAAUAAUCUUUCACCCAUUCCUUGUGGCUUAUGUUUAUUUUCAUUUUUUUUAGAGAUGGAAUCUUGCUAUGUUGUCCACGAUGGAUUCAAAAUCCUGGGCUCAAGAGAUCCUCCUGCCUCAGCCUCCUGAGCAGCUGGGACUACAGGUGUGCACCGCCACACUCCACAGCUGAUGUUUUAAUAAAGUGCCACUGAGUAUCAGACUGAUCAGACUGAAAACAUCCCAGAACUUCAGACCAGGUUAAGGGGGCCAAUGAGAAGAUCAUGAAAAGUGACAUCAGAUGAAAGCUGAGAUCUGUGAAAGUUUCAAAUCAGUUUUUCCAAGAAUGAAUCUUCAAUUAAAGCACUAAGCACAGAAGUAAAUGUAACAAAAGU